GUAGGGAAUCUUCCACAAUGGACGAAAGUCUGAUGGAGCAACGCCGCGUGAGUGAUGAAGGUUUUCGGAUCGUAAAACUCUGUUGUAAGGGAAGAACAAGUGCGUUAGGUAAUGAACGCACCUUGACGGUACCUUAUUAGAAAGCCACGGCUAACUACGUGCCAGCAGCCGCGGUAAUACGUAGGUGGCAAGCGUUGUCCGGAUUUAUUGGGCGUAAAGCGCGCGCAGGUGGUUUCUUAAGUCUGAUGUGAAAGCCCACGGCUCAACCGUGGAGGGUCAUUGGAAACUGGGAGACUUGAGUGCAGAAGAGGAUAGUGGAAUUCCAAGUGUAGCGGUGAAAUGCGUAGAGAUUUGGAGGAACACCAGUGGCGAAGGCGACUGUCUGGUCUGUAACUGACACUGAGGCGCGAAAGCGUGGGGAGCAAACAGGAUUAGAAACCCGUGUAGUCC
Molecule: ribosomal RNA, 450 nt
Filed under: uncultured bacterium
Lineage: Bacteria
Description: bacterial SSU rRNA
Rfam family: Bacterial small subunit ribosomal RNA
Source: RNAcentral